RNAcentral lists this ribosomal RNA (492 nucleotides) under uncultured bacterium. Its description in RNAcentral is "partial 16S ribosomal RNA". It matches the Rfam family "Bacterial small subunit ribosomal RNA", at positions 29 to 507 of the family's 1533-position model. The record is from RNAcentral.
AGUGAACGCUGGCGGUAGGCCUAACACAUGCAAGUCGAACGGCAGCACAGUAAGAGCUUGCUCUUACGGGUGGCGAGUGGCGGACGGGUGAGGAAUACAUCGGAAUCUACUUUUUCGUGGGGGAUAACGUAGGGAAACUUACGCUAAUACCGCAUACGACCUACGGGUGAAAGCAGGGGAUCUUCGGACCUUGCGCGAUUGAAUGAGCCGAUGUCGGAUUAGCUAGUUGGCGGGGUAAAGGCCCACCAAGGCGACGAUCCGUAGCUGGUCUGAGAGGAUGAUCAGCCACACUGGAAAUGAGACACGGUCCAGACUCCUACGGGAGGCAGCAGUGGGGAAUAUUGGACAAAGGGCGCAAGCCUGAUCCAGCCAUACCGCGUGGGUGAAGAAGGCCUUCGGGUUGUAAAGCCCUUUUGUUGGGAAAGAAAAGCAGCAGGUUAAUACCCCGCUGUUCUGACGGUACCCAAAGAAUAUGCACCGGCUAACUUCGUG